UACGGAGGGUGCAAGCAUUAAUCGGAUUUAUUGGGCGUAAAGGGCGCGUAGGCGGGAAUAAAAGUCAGAUGUGAAAUCCUGGGGCUCAACCUCAGAACUGCAUUUGAAACUUUAUUUCUUGAGGGUAGGCGGAGAAAACGGAAUUCCACAAGUAGCGGUGAAAUGCGUAGAUAUGUGGAAGAACACCGGUGGCGAAGGCGGUUUUCUAGCUUAUUCCUGACGCUGAUGCGCGAAAGCAAGGGGAUCAAACAGG
Molecule: ribosomal RNA, 253 nt
Filed under: uncultured bacterium
Lineage: Bacteria
Description: partial 16S ribosomal RNA
Rfam family: Bacterial small subunit ribosomal RNA
Source: RNAcentral